RNAcentral lists this ribosomal RNA (97 nucleotides) under Acanthosepion pharaonis. The record is from RNAcentral. Lineage: Eukaryota; Metazoa; Mollusca; Cephalopoda; Sepiida; Sepiidae.
GUUGAAACACCAGUUCCCGCACGAUCAUCGAAGUUAAGCAACGUCGAGCCUGAUCAGUACCUAGAUGGGUGACCGCUUGGGAAUGCCAGGUACAGUA